AUGAGCGAGGAGGGGCGCUGGAGGAAGAGGAGGCGCGUGGAUCCUGGCAGGGAGGGUCCAGAUCCGGUCGAGGGCGGGGCGACCGGCGGCGGCGGCGGCUUCAACUCCGGGGUGGCAAGUUUGCUUCCUGAGAGAGCAAAGAGUGAGCUGAGAGACAUGGAGAGAGAGCACGGGAGGGAAGGAGAAUGGAAGAGGGAGGCGGGCCGUGGUUGGUUCUCCGGCGGCACUGGAUCGGUGCACGGGCGCGGAGCUCCUGCUGGGGACGCGAAGAUCCAGGGAGGCACUCGGGUGCGAGGCUGCGGGUCAAUGCAGAGAUGGCGCUGCUCCUGCAACUUUGAAGAAGGCGCCGAGACGUCAUCUACAUCCGCAGGUUUGGGUCCAUCUAUAACAUGCUUGACCGGGCGAUCACGCGGCCGUCGAGCACUCUUAUCUACUGGUCAUAAGCUCUUACCAACUAAGGGUGUGGAGAAGUAUCGUUCAGAAAGGAGAUACAGUGGUCGAUGCCACCUGCGGGAAUGUCAACGAUACGCUCGCUCUGCUCUGCUCAAGAUGGUGGCUGAUGAAAGCGGGCGAGGGCGUUUCUAUGGAUUGGACAUCCAAGACUCCGCGAUAGACAGCACUUCCUCUUUUCUGAAAAUGGCCGUCGACAGCCAUGAGAGGGAGCUAGUCAAAUUGUUUUGCAUAUGUCACAGUAGAAUGGAGGAUAUCAUUCCAAAAGAUUCUCCUGUGAGGCUUGUAGCAUUCAAUCUGGGCUACCUUCCAGGAGGAGAUAAACAAAUAAUCACAGUACCUGAGACAACUGAGCUGGCACUACAAGCUGCCAGCAGAAUUGUUGGCUCAGGGGGACUCAUAAGUGUCCUUGUCUACAUUGGGCAUCUGGGUGGAAGGGAUGAACUCGAUAUUGUUGAAUCAUUUGCGUCAAGCUUGCCUGCUGAUACAUGGGUGAGCUGCAAGUUUGAAAUGAUUAACAGGCCAAUUGCUCCAGUACUAGUUCUCCUACACAAAAGAUGA
RNAcentral lists this ribosomal RNA (1011 nucleotides) under Triticum aestivum (bread wheat). RNAcentral describes it as "partial small subunit ribosomal RNA". The record is from RNAcentral. Lineage: Eukaryota; Viridiplantae; Streptophyta; Magnoliopsida; Poales; Poaceae.